CAGUCGCCGCGGUAAGACAGAGGUCCCGAGCGUUGUUCGGAUUCAUUGGGCGUAAAGGGUGUGUAGGAGGCCAGGUAAGUCAGGUGUGAAAUCUCAGAGCCUAACUCUGAAACUGCGCUUGAUACUGCUUGGCUAGAGGAUCGGAGGGGGUAACGGAAUUUAUGGCGUAGCAGUGAAAUGCGUAGAUAUCAUAAGGAACACCGGUGGCGAAGGCAGUUACCUGGAAGAUUCCUGACUCUGAGACACGAAAGCCAGGGGAGCAAACGGGAUUAGAUACCCCCGUAGUCCCUGUCUCUUAUAC
Molecule: ribosomal RNA, 301 nt
Filed under: uncultured bacterium
Lineage: Bacteria
Description: partial 16S ribosomal RNA
Rfam family: Bacterial small subunit ribosomal RNA
Source: RNAcentral